This 254-nucleotide ribosomal RNA is filed under the name uncultured bacterium. RNAcentral's name for it is "partial 16S ribosomal RNA". It matches the Rfam family "Bacterial small subunit ribosomal RNA", at positions 526 to 779 of the family's 1533-position model. The record is from RNAcentral.
CGUAGGGUGCGAGCGUUGUCCGGGAAUUAUUGGGCGUAAAGGGCUCGUAGGCGGUUUGUCGCGUCGGGAGUGAAACGCCGUGCUUAACACGGCGCUUGCUUUCGAUACGGGCAGACUAGAGGUAUGCAGGGAGAACGGAAUUCCUGGUGUAGCGGUGAAAUGCGCAGAUAUCAGGAGGAACACCGGUGGCGAAGGCGGUUCUCUGGGCAUGACCUGACGCUGAGGAGCGAAAAGUGUGGGGAGCGAACAGGAUU